UCUUUCCCUGCGUCCUGGCCAGUAGGGCUGGAAUUUCACUGGGUCUAGGAAAAGUGGAAAACCUGGCUCGCUGCCAGACUGCAGAUUAGUGCUGCUGAGAUGCUGUCAGCAGCAGUCUUGAUGGAGCUCCAGAGCCUAGUUCCUAAGAACAUGAGCACAGGCAAAGCAGCAGGAAUAUCCUUUGGACCCACAAAGAGAAACAUGAAUUGCAAACGAACUGAAACAACAAAUACUGAAGAUCACUCUACUGUGUGAGGAUUUUCUAAGGAGAUGUCCCUAAAGGAAAUACAGGGUUGUUUUAGCUAGGUAAAAUGCUAGUAUAAUCAAUCUGUGUGCCCAAAUCU
Molecule: long non-coding RNA, 344 nt
Organism: Cygnus atratus (black swan)
Lineage: Eukaryota; Metazoa; Chordata; Aves; Anseriformes; Anatidae
Exons: 3
Source: RefSeq, a predicted model, not a curated record